CUGUCAAAAUCUUGCUAUGAAUCUGAAACAUGAAAAGAAGAAAACAUGAUGAAUAACCACCUGUACGAUAUUCAGACUAGCACAAUUAAAGGCAAAUUAAUGAGAAACUAGUAUAAUUUAAUACACAAUGCAUAAGUUAAAGAUUUGACAACUUUUUUACAAUUCUCAUUUUCUCGGGAUGAAUAAAAUUUCAAUGCCUUCCAGUAUAUUUUGCAACUAUGGCUGUGGUAUAUAGAAAGGAUGGAAUACUACAUAAUUAUGAGAAAUUGGUAAGAAUUUCUCUUAUUCUUGCACUCAAAAAUAAAAUAACAAAAUCAGUAAAUUGAAUAAAAAUGAUAAGAAUUCUCUAUUAUCUUGUUCCCAGCAGUAAUUUAGCAUCAAAUCAGCAGAUAUAAUUCACCAGAAUGAAGUACUGAGAGGAAAUAUUUGGAAUUGGUAUUUUAAACAAUUGAAGCUUAAAAAUCAGGCAUCUGCCUUCAUCUCAACAAAGAUUUCCCACAAUUUUUUCUAUGUAAAUUUCCAUGCUAUCUACAUUGUUA
Molecule: unclassified non-coding RNA, 539 nt
Filed under: Hevea brasiliensis (rubber tree)
Lineage: Eukaryota; Viridiplantae; Streptophyta; Magnoliopsida; Malpighiales; Euphorbiaceae
Source: RNAcentral